This is a long non-coding RNA of Anneissia japonica, 1332 nucleotides long. RefSeq lists it as uncharacterized. The transcript has 4 exons. NCBI's taxonomy places the organism in Eukaryota, Metazoa, Echinodermata, Crinoidea, Comatulida, Comatulidae. The record is from RefSeq and is a predicted model, not a curated record.
UAGCGCCAUAUGCACGCCUAGGAAGUGAUCGCUCAUGAGGUUUUCUUAGCUCUUUCGGCAUCGACGUAGGCCUAAGCAGAUUGUACACCGUAAACAUUCCUUGCUUGCUUGUUGAAGGCAGCGUGGAUUUGCUCACCACCUUGCUCGCUUAGAAGACCUAAUCCAAUGUGCCAUCUCUUAAGGGUGAUUGGAGGCCAUAGAUCCUUAUCAGGAAAUCGUAGUCGCCGAAGAAGAACAACCUAAUUUUGUAACCUCUGAGAUGAAUGAAAGAAAUGAAAACAAAUAUCAAUUAGUUAAAGCUGUUGCCAGCCAAGACUGCAGUCAGAUUUCAAUGCGAGGCUGUCGUCCACACUUGGAUGUUUUCGCUGCAUGGACUGCAGUCCUCAGCAGCCAGUUGCGUUUCGUUACUUCCACAAGAAACAAUUCUCAGAAUUUCCUUAAUUUCUGCUGUCCUUCUUGAAACAGUCUUUUUGCUGACGACAUCACUAGAUUUCGUUGCAUUUGAUAUGAAAGCAACUUUCAGUGGCUAAAGGAAAAAUACAUAUCAUUGUGUAUAAUAUUUGUUAUCACUUGAACACUUGUAGUACAGUUUAUUUUAUCGUUCAAAUAUAUGUUGGCAGAUGGAAGCCAUUACAGAUUUUAUAAUCGUUACAGCAUUUGAUAAAUUAUACAAAUUUACAGUAAUAUUACUGUAACUAAUUCAAAAAAUUGAUUGAAAUUUACUUACUCUGCCAUUUGUUAUUAUGUUGAUUUCUUUUUGCUUUUUGAGUGAUUUAUGAAGCACUUUAUGAGCUAAUUUUUCCAGCUCAUUUGGCAUAACUUCAUUGAUCUGACAGUUGAUUUCAUUUACCGUACUGAUUUUUUGAUUUUCUCAACUUUCUGUUCAUAUUUUGAUGAACAUUUGUGGCCCUCACAGUCAUUGUAUAACAGUGUGCUGGAACACUUCUGGCAUCUCAGUUGAACAGAGAGGAGUGAUUGCUCACUCAGUUCCGAUGGUGGUCUGACAUCGUUACGAUUAACAGGACAAGAACACUUAACACAUGGAAUGACAUCAGACUUAAGCGUACGAAAGAGUUGAAACAAACAAUGUGCACAGAAAGUGUGACAACAUUUAGUUUCCAACAUCGAUAGAGACAUAACAUUUUUGCAUAUGGUACACACAUAAAUUGUGUUAGCUGCAUGUUCUUUAUUUAAUAUUAACUGGCUAGACAAGGAUGGUGUAUAAUUUGUGGACGCAGAAAAGGAGCCAUUCUGGUUUCUAUUAAAUUUAUUGAUUUUCUUUAUUGAUCCUCUGAUGUUUUGAUUUGUAAAUAAAUAGCAUGACAAACAAAA